This 3944-nucleotide long non-coding RNA is filed under the name Salvia miltiorrhiza (redroot sage). RNAcentral describes it as "long non-coding RNA (SMIL_LNC006088)". The record is from RNAcentral. Lineage: Eukaryota; Viridiplantae; Streptophyta; Magnoliopsida; Lamiales; Lamiaceae.
GCAGCUCAUACGGCUGAAGAUAUGAUUGAAUCUCACAUCGCCAAUCAAAUCCUUCCACUUUCGGCUGAUGACACGGAAUCAACUUUCAGUUUCUGGCUUUAUCUACAGGAAAGAGGGCAAUUGAAGGGGGAAAUGCAACUGCAGUUGGAGAUGUGGAUCAAUUUCAUGGUGAAUCAAACCAAGCAAUUGAGGAGCAUGUGGCUGGAGAUGGAUGCUUGGACUAUCUGCGGCAGAUAAUUGAAGAGAUGGAUGCUAUCAUCGAAAAGGCCAAUGAGUUGAAGGACAAACAGAGAUUCAGAGAGGAGCAUUCAACACCUCCUCUUAGUCUUACUCAGACCAGAGAAGAAACUGCUAUGGUGGGAUUUCGUGAUGAGUUGAUUCAACUUCUCGACCAGCUCACCGGUCAUCGAUCCAAUCUGCAUAUCAUCUCAAUCGUCGGUAUGGGCGGCAUGGGUAAGACUACUCUUGCCAAAAAUAUUUAUGCUAAUCAACUCAUCAUCGAACACUUUGAUAUUCGUGCUUGGGCUACCGUAUCUCAGCAAUACAAUGCUAAACAAAUUCUUCAACAACUUCUUUCUAGCCAAGGAAAAUCCUCCGAUAAAAGUGUAGAUGAAUUAGGAGAACAAUUGUAUAAAACUUUAUCUGGUAGGAGAUAUUUGAUCAUAUUAGACGACAUAUGGAGUGUCGAAGCUUGGGAUGAAGUGAGGUGUUUCUUUCCCGAUAAUGGAAGUGGAAGCCGGAUUCUUCUAACUACUAGGUUGUCAGAUGUGGCUAACGGUUGUGGAUCUUCUUGCUUUCGGAAGAAUCUUCUAGAUAAGAGUGAAAGUUGGGAAUUGUUCUGUAAGAAGGCUUUCCAAAAUGAAGAUUGCCCUAGUGAACUUGAGGAAGUUGGAAGGAAGAUUGUUAAAUUAUGCAAAGGACUAGCAUUGUCCAUUGUUGUGAUUGGUGGGAGUCUUCUAAAGUCUCCUAGGACUGUAGGAUAUUGGAAGAGUGUUGCCAAAGAUAUAGAAUCAAGUCCCAAUUCAAAAGAGAAAGAAGAAAGCUUAGAUGUAUUGUUUUCAAGUUAUAACCACUUGCCUCCUCAUCUAAAGCCUUGCUUUCUUCAUAUUGGAGUUCUUAAAAGUAUUAAUUAUGAGAACCUCAAUAUCUCGAGAAUCAUCCAACUUUGGGUUGCUGAGGGAUUUUUGAAAUCAAAUGGAGGGCGAGUUUUGGAAGAGAUUGCAGAGGAUUACUUGAAGGAACUUAUUGAUAGAAAUCUGAUAUUAGUUGGGAAGCGAAGUAGAAAUGGGAAGAUGAAAAGUUGUGAUAUUCAUGAUCUUUUAAGAGACCUAUGCUUAAAAGUAGCUGAGCAACAAGGGUUUUUUCAUGUGAUCAGUCGAGGCCCUAUACAAGGCACAGAACGCCGCCUGGUAUAUAAUAAGGCUCCUUGGUGGAGGGAAAAUGCUAGACCCUUACUUGCACGCUCUAUUGUGGGAUAUGUGUUUCACAAGGAAGACUCUUAUAAACAUAGAUUGCUGAGAAUUUUGGAUGCCGUACAAGCAGUUGAAGAAUAUAAAUGGGUGUGUUAAUUCGCUACUUGCCGUCGUCCUGGUAGCCGGAAAUGGUUGGUGCUUCCUAGUUCAUCAUUAUCCUUGGAUGGAAUUGCAUGCUUUAAUCUUUCAGAAUCUCAGUGCUCAGUUGUGCACCAUUGAAAUUUGGAAGAUGCACAACUUAGGCAUAUCCAGUGUGGUGUCGGAUUUUAUUUCUCACCCGAGGACAAUUGCAAGAUGAUUGUAAUCUUGGAAAAUCUUCAGACGCUUGGGAAGCAGUGAAUUUGAGGUUGAGUGAGGAUGUGUGCAAAUCAUUCCAACAUCAAGAUAUUGCAUCUUAAUUAAUAUGUUGCAAGGUGAUGUAGUUUGAGGUGUUUGUGUAAUCUUGAUCGUUGCUAACUUAAUCACUCAAACUGAGCGAAUUAGGUGGGGAACAUGUAUUUAAGCUGAAUGAGAUACUCCAUUUCCGAGAUGCUAAACAAGUUGAGCUUGAGCAACAUCGGUUUUGAAUGGGAUGAUCUGAGAAUGAUUGGUUCGUUGCCCCUACUCGAAGUUCUCCAGGUACGACGUAACUGUGUCACUGGGAAAAAUAGGACAACGUGGAGUCCUGUUGACGGGCAGUUUCAACGCCUCAAGUUCUUGAAAAUUGAUUGGGGUAAUCUGACAUGUUGGAAUGCAGAUAGUUGUCAUUUCCCGAUUCUGGAGAAGCUUCUUCUUGUUGACGUAUUUGAGUUGGAAGAGAUCCCAUGGGGUAUCGGUGAGAUACCAACACUCAAACUUGUUCAUCUGCAUCUCUGUAGUAACUCUGCUGCGAUUUCAGCUAUUAAAAUAAAAGAUGAGCAGCUCGAGUAUCAGGAAAAUGAUGACCUUCAAAUCCAAAUUCGCGUCGACAAUUAUAACCUGAAGAGAUUCAUGGCAAUGGUGGAAACAGAGGGCUUGACACUCGAUAAUGUUCAAUUCAAGUUAAUUUGAUUGAACUUCUUUGUUUUGUUUGGUAGUUGGUACACAUCUUGUGAUUGUGAGGAAAAAUGUUAAUCCUAUCAUGAUUUGUUUGCGUGGUGCCAUCCAAAACUACAAAUUGUUGUUGCAGAACAUUUUUUAUCAGAGUUUUCACAUCAAAGAAACAACAAACAUAGUCUUGUCAGACUAUAACUAAAUGGUUUGAUUGAUCAUUCUUUCAUUUUGUUAGUUAGCUGCCAGCUCAGCAUUUAGUUAGGGAGUUAAAAAGAUUAGUUAGGUGUUAUAACAGAAGCUUAGCUUCGUUUAUAUAUUUCUGUAAUCAUCUCUUGUAAAUCAGUUUCGUUCUAAUGAAAACACAGAAAAUCUCUCUCACUCUCUCUUACUAGCUUCAAUAAAAGUGAAGCACAUGCCCCUUUAUUCAUUUCUGUUAAGAUGCAGAAUAACUGUCUCGAAUUAAUCAUUUAAAUUAAUAGUUUUUUAUAUUUCAAAUCAUGUACUGAUAGGCAAUUUAUCUUCCGAGUCAUACUAGCUAACUUUACUACUCAAAGAAGCCAUCCAAUCGUCGACCCCUCAAAUAAUUAACGUGACACAAUCUUUUGUAUGACUUACACCCCUUUACUUGUUAGAGUAAAGGGGAAUAAUAUUCAGAUAUCAAAACUAAAGAAUGAUAAUUCGCAAAACAAAGAAAAAUCCAAACGAGAGAGGAACUCUCGCUCUUCUAGAGCAGCUUGUGCUAGACCAAAAUCAAAUCCUAGACAACCUCUCUUGUAAGGAGAGAAGCUCUAUUUAUACUACUAAGGGCAUGGCUGGCAUGCAGGAAUGGAAUGUUGAUUCCUGUGUUCAUCCUCAAUCCUAUAGCUGGUAUGGUCUUUGUGAUGGGAAUCGUCAUUCCUAGUAGAAUACCUCCCAUGCAUAUGGGAUUAGCCAUUCCUCCCUUCCCCCAUUGUAUUGCUUAUUCCACUUCUUUCGUUAACUAUCAGAUCUAAUCCCUUGAGGAGAAGGCUGCUUUGUUGCUCCAUUUCAUAGAGACCUAUAAUUAUGGCUGAUUUAGUGAAGAAGCACAACAUCUCGAAAGCCUAAUCGCAUCUGCUGCUCAUACAGCUGAAGAUAUGAUUGAAUCUCACAUUGUCAAUCAAAUAUUAAUCCUUCCACUUUCGGCUGAUGACACGGAAUCGACUUUCAGUUUUAGGCUCUAUCUACAGAAUAAAAGGGCAAUUGAAAAGAAAAUUACACCUGUAGCUGGAGAUGGAUGCUGGAUCGAUUUCAUGCAGCUCAUUAAGAAUCAAUUGGAGAGAAAAAAGGGGCAAUUGAAGAGAAAGAAGCACCAAGCAAACCACAGUUGCUAUCAUCCAAAAGGCCAAUGAGUUGAAGGAAAAACACAGAUUCACAGAGGAGCAUUCAACACCUCCUCUUACUCUUACACAGACAAGAGAAGAAACUGCUAUGGUGGGAUUU